Molecule: ribosomal RNA, 2573 nt
Filed under: Escherichia coli
Lineage: Bacteria; Pseudomonadati; Pseudomonadota; Gammaproteobacteria; Enterobacterales; Enterobacteriaceae
Description: partial 23S ribosomal RNA
Rfam family: Bacterial large subunit ribosomal RNA
Source: RNAcentral
AAAAAUGCACAUGCUGUGAGCUCGAUGAGUAGGGCGGGACACGUGGUAUCCUGUCUGAAUAUGGGGGGACCAUCCUCCAAGGCUAAAUACUCCUGACUGACCGAUAGUGAACCAGUACCGUGAGGGAAAGGCGAAAAGAACCCCGGCGAGGGGAGUGAAAAAGAACCUGAAACCGUGUACGUACAAGCAGUGGGAGCCUCUUAAUGGGGUGACUGCGUACCUUUUGUAUAAUGGGUCAGCGACUUAUAUUCUGUAGCAAGGUUAACCGAAUAGGGGAGCCGAAGGGAAACCGAGUCUUAACUGGGCGUUAAGUUGCAGGGUAUAGACCCGAAACCCGGUGAUCUAGCCAUGGGCAGGUUGAAGGUUGGGUAACACUAACUGGAGGACCGAACCGACUAAUGUUGAAAAAUUAGCGGAUGACUUGUGGCUGGGGGUGAAAGGCCAAUCAAACCGGGAGAUAGCUGGUUCUCCCCGAAAGCUAUUUAGGUAGCGCCUCGUGAAUUCAUCUCCGGGGGUAGAGCACUGUUUCGGCAAGGGGGUCAUCCCGACUUACCAACCCGAUGCAAACUGCGAAUACCGGAGAAUGUUAUCACGGGAGACACACGGCGGGUGCUAACGUCCGUCGUGAAGAGGGAAACAACCCAGACCGCCAGCUAAGGUCCCAAAGUCAUGGUUAAGUGGGAAACGAUGUGGGAAGGCCCAGACAGCCAGGAUGUUGGCUUAGAAGCAGCCAUCAUUUAAAGAAAGCGUAAUAGCUCACUGGUCGAGUCGGCCUGCGCGGAAGAUGUAACGGGGCUAAACCAUGCACCGAAGCUGCGGCAGCGACACUAUGUGUUGUUGGGUAGGGGAGCGUUCUGUAAGCCUGUGAAGGUGGCCUGUGAGGGUUGCUGGAGGUAUCAGAAGUGCGAAUGCUGACAUAAGUAACGAUAAAGCGGGUGAAAAGCCCGCUCGCCGGAAGACCAAGGGUUCCUGUCCAACGUUAAUCGGGGCAGGGUGAGUCGACCCCUAAGGCGAGGCCGAAAGGCGUAGUCGAUGGGAAACAGGUUAAUAUUCCUGUACUUGGUGUUACUGCGAAGGGGGGACGGAGAAGGCUAUGUUGGCCGGGCGACGGUUGUCCCGGUUUAAGCGUGUAGGCUGGUUUUCCAGGCAAAUCCGGAAAACCAAGGCUGAGGCGUGAUGACGAGGCACUACGGUGCUGAAGUGACAAAUGCCCUGCUUCCAGGAAAAGCCUCUAAGCAUCAGGUAACAUCAAAUCGUACCCCAAACCGACACAGGUGGUCAGGUAGAGAAUACCAAGGCGCUUGAGAGAACUCGGGUGAAGGAACUAGGCAAAAUGGUGCCGUAACUUCGGGAGAAGGCACGCUGAUAUGUAGGUGAAGCGACUUGCUCGUGGAGCUGAAAUCAGUCGAAGAUACCAGCUGGCUGCAACUGUUUAUUAAAAACACAGCACUGUGCAAACACGAAAGUGGACGUAUACGGUGUGACGCCUGCCCGGUGCCGGAAGGUUAAUUGAUGGGGUUAGCGGUAACGCGAAGCUCUUGAUCGAAGCCCCGGUAAACGGCGGCCGUAACUAUAACGGUCCUAAGGUAGCGAAAUUCCUUGUCGGGUAAGUUCCGACCUGCACGAAUGGCGUAAUGAUGGCCAGGCUGUCUCCACCCGAGACUCAGUGAAAUUGAACUCGCUGUGAAGAUGCAGUGUACCCGCGGCAAGACGGAAAGACCCCGUGAACCUUUACUAUAGCUUGACACUGAACAUUGAGCCUUGAUGUGUAGGAUAGGUGGGAGGCUUUGAAGUGUGGACGCCAGUCUGCAUGGAGCCGACCUUGAAAUACCACCCUUUAAUGUUUGAUGUUCUAACGUUGGCCCCUAAUCGGGGUUGCGGACAGUGUCUGGUGGGUAGUUUGACUGGGGCGGUCUCCUCCUAAAGAGUAACGGAGGAGCACGAAGGUUGGCUAAUCCUGGUCGGACAUCAGGAGGUUAGUGCAAUGGCAUAAGCCAGCUUGACUGCGAGCGUGACGGCGCGAGCAGGUGCGAAAGCAGGUCAUAGUGAUCCGGUGGUUCUGAAUGGAAGGGCCAUCGCUCAACGGAUAAAAGGUACUCCGGGGAUAACAGGCUGAUACCGCCCAAGAGUUCAUAUCGACGGCGGUGUUUGGCACCUCGAUGUCGGCUCAUCACAUCCUGGGGCUGAAGUAGGUCCCAAGGGUAUGGCUGUUCGCCAUUUAAAGUGGUACGCGAGCUGGGUUUAGAACGUCGUGAGACAGUUCGGUCCCUAUCUGCCGUGGGCGCUGGAGAACUGAGGGGGGCUGCUCCUAGUACGAGAGGACCGGAGUGGACGCAUCACUGGUGUUCGGGUUGUCAUGCCAAUGGCACUGCCCGGUAGCUAAAUGCGGAAGAGAUAAGUGCUGAAAGCAUCUAAGCACGAAACUUGCCCCGAGAUGAGUUCUCCCUGAGACUUAGAGUCUCCUGAAGGAACGUUGAAGACGACGACGUUGAUAGGCCGGGUGUGUAAGCGCAGCGAUGCGUUGAGCUAACCGGUACUAAUGAACCGUGAGGCUUAACCUUACAACGCCGAAG